CUGCGCCCGGAAGAGGGCACUGCUCUGGCUCCGCCCCGGAAGAUAAGGCGACUCGGGGGUGCCGCAUUUCCUCUUUUGGCCGCGCUCCGUAGCAGGUAGGUCUGUCUGAGGUGCUGAGGGCUUGGGACCAUCCGCCGCCAUCCUCCGCGUUGGGGCCCGCCGUGGUACCUGGGAGACUGUUCUGAGAAGGCGCAGGCGCGCGCGACCAGGGAUGAGAACACGGGAGGCUGGGAUGGGGCGGGACGCGGGGCCAGCGCCUGCUGACCUGAUUCCCCCCUAGACCAGCCGUCAUGGGCCGAGUGAUCCGUGGACAGAGAAAGGGUGCCGGCUCCGUGUUCCGCGCGCACGUGAAACACCGCAAGGGCGCCGCACGUUUGCGCGCAGUGGACUUCGCAGAGCGACACGGCUACAUCAAAGGCAUCGUGAAGGUGGGGGCGUCUGCCCGGUGGGUGGGGGAGACGGGGCGUCCGCCGAGACCCGCGCUCACCUCACCUCGGCACGCAGGACAUUAUCCACGACCCGGGCCGCGGCGCGCCCCUCGCCAAGGUCGUCUUCCGGGAUCCAUACCGGUUUAAAAAGCGGACGGAGCUGUUUAUCGCCGCCGAGGGCAUCCACACAGGCCAGUUCGUGUACUGCGGAAAGAAGGGUGAGCCCAGCGGCGGGAAGGAAAGUUGGGGCGGAGGGGAGGUGGGGGCUACCUCUGGAUCGCCCGCGCCAGAAGCCUCCCGCGAGGCCCGCCUGGAUACGGUAUUCCACGGGGUGUCUGGAAAGGUGGGAGCCCAGAUGUUGAAGGUGCUCUACGCUUUGGGCGUUUCCAAGAAGCCUGGCUUUGCAUUGUCUCUGGCUGUACUGACCCUGGUUCCGCUUCUCCUGGCAGCCCAGCUCAAUAUUGGCAAUGUUCUCCCUGUGGGAACCAUGCCUGAGGGUACGAUUGUGUGUUGCCUGGAGGAGAAGCCUGGGGACCGGGGCAAGCUGGCCCGAGCCUCCGGUAACUAUGCCACGGUCAUCUCUCACAAUCCUGAGACCAAGAAGACUCGUGUGAAGCUGCCCUCUGGCUCCAAAAAGGUCAUUUCCUCGGCCAACAGAGCUGUUGUCGGUGAGUGCCUGGCAGCGGUUGAAUGCAGAAGUGGGUGCUCAGGCUGUGAGCUGCCUAUGAACUGCCACCUGUUAGCCUUGGGCUUAAGUUUGAGUUUGAAAUGAUUGGAAUCUUCAUUGCUGUAAAGAGCAGGAUGGUGGUACCUACUUCCCUUCAGGUUUGGAGCAGAUUGAGAUUGAACCAGAUGGUUCUCGACCUUUGUGUGUGUGUAUGAAUCAGGCUUCCUGAUUUCUGAUAUUACAUCAUUUAGUUAAUUCACUUGUUUCUUCAGAGAAAACAGGAUCAUAUACGAGGAUUUCCUUAAAGGCAUCUACUAUUGAGAGGGAGAGAAAGGAUUUGGUUCCCAGGUUCUUUGUUUGGCAGAGCUCUGGUGCAGUGCACUUGGUCAGUUAGUUGCCUUGGGGGAAUUCAGAGGUUGGGUGACCUACCUUGUGUUUCAGAUACAGUGAAGUGGGGGUGCUCUCUUGGGAACUCGAAUUUGGCUCACUAGGGUGGAGGCUGGUGGGCUCAGUGUGGUGGCUGUAAAAGUAUGGUGGCUCUUGAGUGAUGCAUAUGACAGUACUGAGUGGUUUGCAUUGGGAAGGGUUCACUGUCAAGGACCCAGUGGUGAGGAGGUUCUCUGAGGAUUCUGAUCUCUCCAACAGGUGUGGUGGCUGGAGGUGGCCGAAUUGACAAACCUAUCUUGAAAGCUGGUCGUGCCUACCACAAGUAUAAGGCAAAGAGGAACUGCUGGCCUCGUGUACGGGGUGUGGCCAUGAAUGUAAGUAGCCCAGCAAUCAGUUUGUAGGGUAUUCAAGGUGCAUAACCAUGCAGGUGGGUUAGCAAAUCCCUUCUAGAGGUGUUUCCUAACUCCUGUGGCAGGGGAAUGAAUCUUCAGUGGGGGAAGCACUGAGUGGUAGGUUGUAGCCACAGCAUUCUUGAUCUUGCCCCAACCCUUCUGCAGUGGGGUCACCACUACUCUUACACCAUUUCCCUCUGCUUGCAGCCUGUGGAACAUCCCUUCGGAGGAGGUAACCACCAGCAUAUUGGCAAACCCUCCACCAUCCGCCGAGAUGCUCCUGCUGGCCGCAAAGUGGGUCUCAUUGCUGCCCGCCGGACUGGGCGACUCCGUGGAACCAAGACCGUGCAGGAAAAAGAGAACUAGGCCUGAUGGGCUCAAUAAAGUUUGUCCUUUUGCUGUUG
RNAcentral lists this long non-coding RNA (2278 nucleotides) under Marmota monax (woodchuck). Lineage: Eukaryota; Metazoa; Chordata; Mammalia; Rodentia; Sciuridae. The record is from RNAcentral.